UGUGAACGUGCCUGGGGACGGGGACAUGCAUAGGCUCAGGCCACCGUGCGGAGAUGGCCGGUGACUUGGACCCCCAGUGGUCGCGGCCGCGCGCCCUACCCAGGUCCAGCGCCUUCUUGGCCUUAAUGAGCCGCGCCAGGUUGGCCAGAAGCUGGGCCUGCUCACAGGUCAUCAUGGACUCUCCCCGCGGCUGCUCCAGCGUCAGCUGUGUGUGUGGUGGGGAGAGGGUCGCACCAGCUCUGCUGUCCCCCCAGGUGGAGGCCCCCCCUCCGCUGGGGUAGCUGUGGGCACCGCCCAGGGGAGCGCCUUCCCAGGGAACGCCCACCGCGCACCGCGCACCGCGCACCGGCCGAGGAGCGCGGAAGCCGAGUGGGUCCCCGCCCAGCCCAAGGUCAUGCAACCACGUGGGACCCGCGGGGCUGGGGUGGGCGCCCGUCCCCGCCCUCGGCCCCGCUGACCAGCCGCAGGCUCCGCAGCGCUGGGUGCUCCCGCAAGGAGCGGCUCAGCAGAAGCCUUCCAACGGUAGACUUCAUGGGGCCCUUUGCGGACUGGCUGAGAACGUGUCCCUGGAGCUUCUCUCCUCCCAUGGAGACCCUGGCCUCACGCCAGAACUUCAUCUGGAGCCCAGAGAGUAGUCCUCCCGGCCCCCACCAGGAGCCCAGUCUCUGCCGCCCGUUCCCAUUGGUUCAGUUUGGGGUCCUCUCCCUCGAGGCAAAGCUGUUCCCGUCCUGACAGGUUCACAAUUGCCACCCUGAAGGGAAAAUCCAAGUUGAAAUGGAUGGAAGCUCUGGGAGAGGCCGAUGCUGUAUCCACUGAGCCAAACCAGCUAGGGCCGUUCUUCUUUUGAACGUGGUACAUGACAUCUGGAGCUGCAGCAGCUACCUCUCCACCACGAGGAAACAGCAGGAGAUGUAAAUAACAAACUAAGCAUGGAAAGCAGCCUCCACAGACUCAGCAUAACUAGAAGUGCACAUCUCCUUAUGAACAGGGUGGGGUGGGG
Myotis myotis is the source of this 1000-nucleotide long non-coding RNA. RefSeq lists it as uncharacterized. NCBI's taxonomy places the organism in Eukaryota, Metazoa, Chordata, Mammalia, Chiroptera, Vespertilionidae. The transcript is spliced from 5 exons. The record is from RefSeq and is a predicted model, not a curated record.